Molecule: ribosomal RNA, 253 nt
Filed under: uncultured bacterium
Lineage: Bacteria
Description: partial 16S ribosomal RNA
Rfam family: Bacterial small subunit ribosomal RNA
Source: RNAcentral
UACGUAGGGGGCAAGCGUUGUCCGGAUUUAUUGGGCGUAAAGAGCGUGUAGGCGGUUAGGUAGGUCCGUUGUGAAAACUCGAGGCUCAACCUCGAGGCGCCGAUGGAAACCAUGUGGCUAGAGUCCGGAAGAGGAGAGUGGAAUUCCUGGUGUAGCGGUGAAAUGCGCAGAUAUCAGGAAGAACACCCGUGGCUAAGGCGGCUCUCUAGUACGGUACUGACGCUGAGACGCGAAAGCGUGGGGAGCGAACAGG